Long non-coding RNA from Patella vulgata (common limpet), 2617 nucleotides. RefSeq lists it as uncharacterized. NCBI's taxonomy places the organism in Eukaryota, Metazoa, Mollusca, Gastropoda, Patellidae. The transcript is spliced from 7 exons. The record is from RefSeq and is a predicted model, not a curated record.
GAUAGGAUGGUUUCAAGCCACUAUAAAACUGUGUUUCUAUAUUUUUACAGCAGAGUUUAGUGGGAUAUUUGAAACCGUUUAAAUUCAGUUUAUCUUUUAUAAAUAUGGGUAUACAAGAAAUGAAUUUCGUCGGGAUACUGCUGCUCUUUGUCAAUGGUAUCGUAGCAUUGAAUACCUCGGUUACAGGUAAUUUGGAUACAACAACGACAAGAGCAACACCACUGCCAACAAUUGAGAUUAUUACCGGCCCGCUUGUUUCAUCACGCCAGAAUGGAGUUUGUGCAGAAGCCAAAGCGUGUUUUAAUGAAGAAAUUUCAAAAUAUUUUCCUAUUUUGCCAUGGCAACCAAGACCAACUCCUGUUCCAGAUAUAAAUGAAUUGUGCCGAAUUUUCCCUGAGGUUAAAGAUUGCUACCUAAACAAAAGGGCUGGGUGUCAAGAACCUGCUACUAGCACAGUAUCACAAGAUAGUAUCAUUGCUUCAGUUACUUAUUUAUGUACCGACCAAGGAAAAAAAUCAUUAACCACAAUUGAAGAUUGUUUUAAAGAUAAUAGAACUUUAGUAAAAGCUCAACUCUGUGACUAUGUAACAUCUAAAGAUAUUGACAAUUCUAACCCUUGCAGUUUUUUAAAUUUCAAUUUAAAUUGUAUCAUUAAUGUAACCAGAACUAAUUGUGGCGAGAGUGAUGCCAGAUUGGUAACCAAUAUAAUCGAGCCAUCCAUUAUACCCUUUGAACGUGCUCAGAAUUGCUCUGUACAAAUACAUACGGAUGGAAAAAAUGGAAAUGAUGGAAACAGUGGUUCUAAAAUAACAGCCAGUUGGACAAUUACUGUUUUGAUUAUUAAAUUAUUUAUAAAUCUUUAAGAUAUUCCAAACUGCCCCAAUGAUGUAUAUAUGCAGGUAACUGACUGUUAGAUUUCACCUUGGCAAUCUCAGGAUAAUAAAAACUGAAAUGAGGACAGACUUAAAACGCGUCGACCAGAUUUAUUUUAAAAACGGGAAUUUUUUUUAUUUCAUUUGCAUGCCCAACGUUCGAAAAAUAAGUCAUGGACCACAGAAUAACAAAUCUGGUCAACUUCCUAAAAUGACGCACUUUCAAAUUAUAGCCCAUUUGUCACAAGUUUGUAAUCUUAUGCAACAAGAGAGAGAGAGAAAUGGGCUUUAACGUCCACUCGACACAAAAUAGGUCAUUUUGGAACUAACAUGGUUCAAUUUUAUAGGGAUCUGUAGUUGUCACGUAUAAGCGGGGAAUCGAAACCACGCCACUCGACUCAAUGAUGGACCUUCUGAUAUAACACGCAUGGGUUAAACCAUUCGGCCACCAAACAUCCCUUUAUGCAACAAACAAUGAAGCACUGAUAUACAAUAUGCCUCUGUAGUAUUAUUACAGUUGUUAAGUAUCUGCGACUGCCAAUCAAAUUUGAAAAUUGUCAAGUUCUAGUCCCUUUUUAUGCUAGGUUCCCACUGUCGUGUGAUGCGUUACGAUAGGAUUGGCUCUAUUUAGUCCACGAUCUGGUACGUGCAGAUAAGUUCGGAUACGUUUCGAUACGAUCAACACGAUCACUACGACUGACCACAAUAUAUGAUAAGACCUGAUAGUAACACAACGAUUACUCCACGAUUUCAAUCGUAGUGCGAAUCGUGAUAGUCGGAACCUAGCAUCAGGUAUGACCAAGCUAAUUUAUUUUUAACACAAUUUUUUAAUAACUGUGUAACUCAGUAUUUUUUUACAUGUACAUGUAUAUACAAAACAUUUUUGUAAAUUUUAUUUAAAGUCCUACAGUUUAUUAUUUUAUACUUAUUUGUAUUUCAAAAUGAUCAAGUUCACCAUUAGCGUUCGAUCCUUGCAUUGGCCGAGAAAGUUCAUCCAGAUUUUCUGGCGUGGUAUCCCUUUGUCAGUGAUGCAGGACGCAGGGCCUGGCAAGGACAGCUGCCUAGUCGUUCGGAUGGGACGAAAAACCGAGGCCCCGUGAAUUCGAUCUAAGAGUAGGCCGUAGUGCCGCUGUCCGGGCAAAAUUUCCUUCAUAGUACACUGUAUGGCAUAUGCCCGUCUUCAUUAGUCCUGUUCGGAGCAGAACAGUAGGACGUUAAACCCAUUUCAUUUCAGUUCACCAUUAGGUCAUACAAUACAAAUAUUCUGGUUUUCAGAUAAUCAUUCCUCACUUCAAAAAUUUCAAAAAAUAAUUACGAAACUCUAUGCACACUUUUUGAAUGAAUCCAAAAUAUGGCAUCAGGCUCAUCUAUGAAGUACACAACAGUGAUAAAUGUUACUGACAAUCAUAGAUGAAGCUGGAUAUUUACACAUUUCUAUAAACACGAAAUAAAUGUUAGUGCCUUGAAAUGUGAUGUUUAUGAGAAGCCAUUUAGCCCAGUAAAUAAACCUCCCGGCAUCAGAUGUUUGGUAAGGAUUGUCUGGGAACAAGAAUUUUUUUGUGUGUGGCCUUAAUCCCUUUUGUAGUUAUGCAAAAGCAAAUCACAACUUAUUUUAUAUAGGAAGUUUAUUGCUGCCGAUUUUAAAUACAGAUUCUUAAUUUUUUGUAAAUAAUAUUUUACUAUUAUUUCCAAGAACAGAUAUGUCAGAUAUUUAUAUAUUUUGUUAAUAAAAUUGUAAAAAUUCA